Molecule: ribosomal RNA, 297 nt
Filed under: uncultured bacterium
Lineage: Bacteria
Description: partial 16S ribosomal RNA
Rfam family: Bacterial small subunit ribosomal RNA
Source: RNAcentral
GGUCCUACGGGACGCAGCAGUGGGGAAUAUUGGUCAAUGGACGCAAGUCUGAACCAGCCAUGCCGCGUGCAGGAAGACGGCUCUAUGAGUUGUAACCUGCUUUUGUACGAGGGUAAACGCAGAUACGCGUAUCUGUCUGAAAGUAUCGUACGAAUAAGGAUCGGCUAACUCCGUGCCAGCAGCCGCGGUAAUACGGAGGAUUCAAGCGUUAUCCGGAUUUAUUGGGUUUAAAGGGUGCGUAGGCGGUCGGAUCAGUUAUAUGUGAAAUCCUGAGGCUCAACUUCGGAAUUGCCUCUG